This 1083-nucleotide long non-coding RNA is filed under the name Mus caroli (Ryukyu mouse). RNAcentral describes it as "lncRNA (MGP_CAROLIEiJ_G0006264.1)". The record is from RNAcentral. Lineage: Eukaryota; Metazoa; Chordata; Mammalia; Rodentia; Muridae.
GGGCAGAGAAGUGUGAUAGGCAAGAUUCAGAACUCCCCCUACUGGGUGAGGGUAGAAGCCAGGCUAACUUCCCUGAAGGCUGUGUGAAAAGCUCCACAAACAAACAAACAAACAAAACACAAAAAAGAAGACAACUGGCAAGCAUUCCAUUCACCGACGUUACUUUGUGGUUCCGUGAAUUGCUAGAGCAGCCAAGGACCUGAGGAGGAUCCAGGGUGUGAACCAGAAGCCAGCGCAACCUUCUUUCUCAAUGGAGGCACCUUGUAUCUUACAAAGCAUUCUCUGUGGGUUUUCAUGCAUUUGAGAGAGGCACGUGCUUGCAGCCACUCAUUUCUUCAGCUCCUGUUCCUGCCACAGUAGAGGCUGUGAUCUAUCCAAAUACGUAAUUGCCCUCCUAGCAGAGGACUGUUGUGUUGAAACAAAUCUCCUCGGCAACAAGUUGCGUUCAGUAAAUCCACUAGUCACUCUGAGUCCCUUCCCCGAGUCUCAGAUUCCCUGGGCCCUUGGAAGUCGUGCGUUUGGGCGUGGGGAGCUGGAGAAGGAUGCCUGCAGCUUCUAGCUGAGGCCACUAGCUGCAAGAAGACACUGUUACACAGUGAGGCUUUUCUGGGGAUGUAAGAAAGGCCCUAAAGUCAUGCCUUCUUCUGAUUGUCUGUGAAGAUGCUAGAUCUACUGAGAAAAACCUUUCUUAUCCAAGAGAGAAGAUGACCGGGAAAGCUCACACACAGCAUCUCUCUCGAAAUACUUGACAGACCGCAGCAAACCGCAACCACCCACUACCCAGCCGCCAGCAGCAGCAGGUCCUUCUAUCGGGGCUCUCAAAUUUAUCCAUCCUCUGAGAAGUCCUCAGAAUCCUAAAUGUAACACAUUUGCAGAAACCACACAUCUGCAGCUGGCAAAAGCACGCCCCUGCUAGAGUGCAGGGCAAGUGAUAGCUACUGUGGAGCAGCCCCGGAUCCCACACCUGGGACUAAAACAAAAACGUUCUUAUAUUUCUGUGUUGUAAAAGAAACCAAAAUUCUCACUACAGUUAGUCUAGGGAAAUUUGGUGGAAAAUGUCGAUAAAGAUGACCAUUAAAUGUU